ACAUUUGCAUCCUAAUUUGGCGUUUUUUGGUUUUUUUUU
RNAcentral lists this small RNA (39 nucleotides) under Arabidopsis thaliana (thale cress). RNAcentral's name for it is "ATSL207960". Lineage: Eukaryota; Viridiplantae; Streptophyta; Magnoliopsida; Brassicales; Brassicaceae. The record is from RNAcentral.